UACGUAGGUGGCAAGCGUUGUCCGGAUUUAUUGGGUUUAAAGGGUGCGUAGGCGGUUCUCUAAGUCAGUUGUGAAAUACUUCAGCUUAACUUGAGAGGUGCAAUUGAUACUGGAGAACUUGAGUACUGAUGAGGUAGGCGGAAUGGACGGUGUAGCGGUGAAAUGCUUAGAUAUCGUCCAGAACACCGAUAGCGAAGGCAGCUUACUAAGGAGUAACUGACGCUGAGGCACGAAAGUGUGGGGAUCAAACAGG
RNAcentral lists this ribosomal RNA (253 nucleotides) under uncultured bacterium. Its description in RNAcentral is "partial 16S ribosomal RNA". It matches the Rfam family "Bacterial small subunit ribosomal RNA", at positions 524 to 776 of the family's 1533-position model. The record is from RNAcentral.